Molecule: ribosomal RNA, 468 nt
Filed under: uncultured bacterium
Lineage: Bacteria
Description: partial 16S ribosomal RNA
Rfam family: Bacterial small subunit ribosomal RNA
Source: RNAcentral
GACGAACGCUGGCGGCGUGCUUAACACAUGCAAGUCGAACGGAAAGGCCCUGCUUUUGUGGGGUGCUCGAGUGGCGAACGGGUGAGUAACACGUGAGUAACCUGCCCUUGACUUUGGGAUAACUUCAGGAAACUGGGGCUAAUACCGGAUAGGAGCUCCUGCUGCAUGGUGGGGGUUGGAAAGUUUCGGCGGUUGGGGAUGGACUCGCGGCUUAUCAGCUUGUUGGUGGGGUAGUGGCUUACCAAGGCUUUGACGGGUAGCCGGCCUGAGAGGGUGACCGGCCACAUUGGGACUGAGAUACGGCCCAGACUCCUACGGGAGGCAGCAGUGGGGAAUAUUGCACAAUGGGCGGAAGCCUGAUGCAGCAACGCCGCGUGCGGGAUGACGGCCUUCGGGUUGUAAACCUCUUUCGCCGGUGACGAAGCGUGAGUGACGGUAAUGAGUAAAGAAGCACCGGCUAACUACGUG